GCCAGGUGGCGGCGUUGCCUAUACAUGCAGUCGAACGAACUCUGGUAUUGAUUGGUGCUUGCAUCAUGAUUUACAUUUGAGUGAGUGGCGAACUGGUGAGUAACACGUGGGAAACCUGCCCAGAAGCGGGGGAUAACACCUGGAAACAGAUGCUAAUACCGCAUAACAACUUGGACCGCAUGGUCCGAGUUUGAAAGAUGGCUUCGGCUAUCACUUUUGGAUGGUCCCGCGGCGUAUUAGCUAGAUGGUGGGGUAACGGCUCACCAUGGCAAUGAUACGUAGCCGACCUGAGAGGGUAAUCGGCCACAUUGGGACUGAGACACGGCCCAAACUCCUACGGGAGGCAGCAGUAGGGAAUCUUCCACAAUGGACGAAAGUCUGAUGGAGCAACGCCGCGUGAGUGAAGAAGGGUUUCGGCUCGUAAAACUCUGUUGUUAAAGAAGAACAUAUCUGAGAGUAACUGUUCAGGUAUUGACGGUAUUUAACCAGAAAGCCACGGCUAACUACGUGCCAGCAGCCGCGGUAAUACGUAGGUGGCAAGCGUUGUCCGGAUUUAUUGGGCGUAAAGCGAGCGCAGGCGGUUUUUUAAGUCUGAUGUGAAAGCCUUCGGCUCAACCGAAGAAGUGCAUCGGAAACUGGGAAACUUGAGUGCAGAAGAGGACAGUGGAACUCCAUGUGUAGCGGUGAAAUGCGUAGAUAUAUGGAAGAACACCAGUGGCGAAGGCGGCUGUCUGGUCUGUAACUGACGCUGAGGCUCGAAAGUAUGGGUAGCAAACAGGAUUAGAUACCCUGGUAGUCCAUACCGUAAACGAUGAAUGCUAAGUGUUGGAGGGUUUCCGCCCUUCAGUGCUGCAGCUAACGCAUUAAGCAUUCCGCCUGGGGAGUACGGGCCGCAAGGCUGAAACUCAAAGGAAUUGACGGGGGCCCGCACAAGCGGUGGUAGCAUGUGGUUUAAUUCGAAGCUACGCGAAGAACCUUACCAGGUCUUGACAUACUAUGCAAAUCUAAGAGAUUAGACGUUCCCUUCGGGGACAUGGAUACAGGUGUGCAUGCUUGUCGUCAGCUCGUGUCGUGAGAAUGUUGGGUUAAGUUCCCGCAACGAGCGCAACUCUUAUUUAU
RNAcentral lists this ribosomal RNA (1119 nucleotides) under Lactiplantibacillus plantarum. Its description in RNAcentral is "bacterial SSU rRNA". It matches the Rfam family "Bacterial small subunit ribosomal RNA", at positions 29 to 1112 of the family's 1533-position model. Lineage: Bacteria; Bacillati; Bacillota; Bacilli; Lactobacillales; Lactobacillaceae. The record is from RNAcentral.